UAAUUAUUUAUACUGUCUUACUUUAAUAAUUAAUUUAAUUAGUAUGUGUUUUUGUAUUCUAGAUACUAAUACAUGUAAAUAAUUAUAUGUACUAGUACUGUUAGAAAAAAUGUUUUAUUUAAUAUUGUGUAACAUUCUUACAUUGUUUUGCUACAUUACUGACAGUAGCGUAUUUAGGGGGGGUAUUGGAGGCAAUUGCCCUGGGCAGCACUUGUUUGAGGAGCAGUAAAUGUAACUGGAAGGUUUUAGUUUUAAACUAAUUUAAACAGUUGUAAAAAAUAUAUAUAUAUGUACCCAGGGCAACAAAAUUCUAAAUAUGCCUCUGUUUACUGAUCUAAAAAAGUUUUGCAAAGUUUCCAUAACUACUUUUGUAAAUUAAUGUACCUAUGUUCGUAUAAUUUAAAACAACUAAAUUAUAAGUAACUUUUACAUUAGAUAAAUUGUAAUACAAUUUUAGUCACGUGUUUUCCAUUUUUUUUAAUGAUUUAUUGAUGAGAUAAAUAAAUAGCAAUGCAUUAACACUAUUAUUACUAGUAUUAAUUUAUUUAUGCAUAUAAUAUGACAUUUGUAUUUUGACUUAAAGAUAGUAGUAAUAACAGUUAUAAUAAUAAUAAUAAUAAUAAUAACAAACGAACAAUAAUAGUAAUAAUUGUAACAACAUUGACAGCAGCUGAAAAUAGUAAAUAAUUAACAGAUAAAGAAAAUAUCACAGGCGUUCUAUGAGCAAGAAUAGCCGCAAUAGGUAGUAUUGCGAUGACGAUGUGACAUUUUUUCUACAGACAAUGUGUGUGUAAAAUAGCCAACUUAAAAUUAAAGCCUUCGCCGCCAUAUUUCCGUCAUGACUUAUGUCUGUGUGCGUAGUCUUAGUAGAUCGUCGUCGAUGCGAAAUGUGCAUUGCAGGCUGGGUCAAGUGCAAUAUGAGAUCGUGUACAAAUCGCACACAGUGAUGCAUAUAAUACAUAUUGCAAACAACACAACCUAAUUUGCUACAUUCUUUGUUUUUCGUCGCCGGCGUACAGAAUAAAAAAACCGUCUACUACAUUGGCCUCGAAAACUUCGGAAGAACCCUGCAGCACUGUAUCAGCAACCGUCGAAUUUUAGCAUAGUCCCCCAAUUGGCCGGGACAUGUGCAAUAUUAGUUUGAUCAAAAUACAAUAGUUGCACAAGUCAACGACCAACUGGUGAAACGCUUCGCAGUAAUAAUCAAGCUUUCCGUCGCGUGUCCCUGUAUAUCAGAAUAAAGAAAACAAAAAUUAGGUAAUUAAUACGAUAAUAACAUAAUAUACAGGGUCUUCGAUCCCCGGUAACGAACUAUACCUAUUAUUAUAUCUAUAUUGUUUUUCAUUCACUAUUACGUCGCAAAGGGAAACAUAAAAUAUUAAAUACAGAGCGAUUAAGAAUGACACAAUAAUUAAAAACAUGAAAUAGGUUUAUUAUACUCGUACUCAAUGCGUGUACGUGUUGUAACGGGAUCUGCAGCAAAGGCAUUUAACUUGUGUAUAUAUUAAAACCUUGUGUUAUUUUGUAACCGGAAACCAGACAUUCACUCGGCAGACACUCUUCAGAUCGAUGAUGAUGGUACAUCGAUUGUAGUUUAUAUUUACGUCGAUUAUCACAGUGGUUGUGUGUCCGGCGAGUGUGCGUUUCCAAUUGUGGGAAAUUAUGUCAGACCACUCUUACCGCGUGUCCCAUCUACGGUUAUCUUACUAUUACAUAAAAAUACCUCCUAAUUAUAACAUAAGAAUAAUAUUCGAAGAGAGAGACAGGGAUUUUAAAAUGUAUGAAAAUGAGGUUUUCCAUUUUAUAUACAUAGCAAAUAACGUUAUGGAUGAGCAGUACAACACUCAAUACAUACGCAUAACGCAUGAUGGCUACGAUUUUAAUAAAUAUAAUACGAUUUUAAAUAUAAUAGAUACUAUUGCGAUUAUAUUAUUAUAUUAAACGCGAUGUAUGCGCGUACAUGAUGACACCACCACCGGGCCUCGGGCUAUCGACGAAACAUUCAAACAUCUGCCAUCUUCCUUUUGACCACCACGCGACCAAAUGUUAAAUUUAAAAAUACUACGGCGAACAAUGAAUCCGAUGCGUGCUCUCGUUUUGGUGCGGACGGAAUAAUAUAAAUUGUACGUAUACAACGUCUGUUAUAUACACUUAUAAUGAUGACUCGCAUAUGUACCUCUAUGACAAAAUUUUUUUAUUGCAGCAGCGGUUUACCUAUAUAUUAAUAUUGUUUUAUAAUACUGAACUAUCUGCGGGUUAUGUGUUUUGUACCGUACUUCGUGAUUCGCGCGUUCAAUUAUCAUACGAUAAUCAUAUAUACACAAUACACACACUACCUACAUAUAUAUUGGCGUACAUAUAAAUAGUACACCGCGACUACAUCGCAAGUAUAUCACGAGCUCAUCGUCCUUGGACGUUUAAUAUAUUGUAUUAUUAUAACGUAUCGUCGCGGGAACGUCCACAUAAUUUGCGAGGCUUAGGGCGAAAAUAAUUCCAAAGCUCUACAUAAUAAUUAAUAUACUUCUAUUCAUGAGACGUGUCUAUAAAUUGCUCAUUUUUGAGUUGUAACAGAGAGUUUACAAUAAGUAAUUGAUUCAAAAUUAAAAAUCUAAAAUUAUUUUCUUGAUUUAAUCAUAUAUAGCUGGAAAAUGUAUUAUUGAAGUUUUUCAUUAAGUAUACUGUUAUUUUCAUUU
Molecule: long non-coding RNA, 2693 nt
Organism: Aphis gossypii (cotton aphid)
Lineage: Eukaryota; Metazoa; Arthropoda; Insecta; Hemiptera; Aphididae
Exons: 3
Source: RefSeq, a predicted model, not a curated record